UACGGAGGGGGCUAGCGUUGUUCGGAAUCAUUGGGCGUAAAGGGCGCGUAGGCGGCCGAUCAAGUCGGAGGUGAAAUCCCUCGGCUCAACUGAGGAACUGCCUUCGAUACUGUUCGGCUUGAGUCCUGGAGAGGGUAGCGGGAUUCCCGGUGUAGCGGUGAAAUGCGUAGAGACCGGGAAGAACACCAGUGGCGAAGGCGGCUACCUGGACAGGUACUGACGCUGAAGCGCGAAAGCUAGGGGAGCAAACAGG
Molecule: ribosomal RNA, 253 nt
Filed under: uncultured bacterium
Lineage: Bacteria
Description: partial 16S ribosomal RNA
Rfam family: Bacterial small subunit ribosomal RNA
Source: RNAcentral